This 303-nucleotide ribosomal RNA is filed under the name uncultured bacterium. RNAcentral's name for it is "bacterial SSU rRNA". It matches the Rfam family "Bacterial small subunit ribosomal RNA", at positions 28 to 334 of the family's 1533-position model. The record is from RNAcentral.
GACGAACGCUGGCGGCGUGCCUAAUACAUGCAAGGCGAACGCGAGCAGCAAUGCUCGAGUGGCGAACGGGUGAGUAAUACAUAAGUAACCUGCCCUAGACAGGGGGAUAACUGCUGGAAACGGCAGCUAAGACCGCAUAGGUAUGGACACUGCAUGGUGACCAUAUUAAAAGUGCCAAGGCACUGGUAGAGGAUGGACUUAUGGCGCAUUAGCUGGUUGGUGAGGUAACGGCUCACCAAGGCGACGAUGGAUAGGGGUUCUGAGAGGAACGGUCCCCCACAUUGGAACUGAGACACGGUCCAA